This is a long non-coding RNA of Chelonia mydas (Green sea turtle), 3487 nucleotides long. RefSeq lists it as uncharacterized. The record is from RefSeq and is a predicted model, not a curated record. NCBI's taxonomy places the organism in Eukaryota, Metazoa, Chordata, Testudines, Cheloniidae. The transcript has 3 exons.
UUUAGUUGUAUUGUUUCUUUUAACAAUCAUUGUAAAGGCACUCAGAGGAGCAGAUGAAUGCUUAAUUAUAAACUGAAAUAAAUAAAAUACCUUUUUUGUCAAUCUGAAUAUACUUAAGGCCCCCUUGAAGAAUAUCUAAUCUUCACACAUAUAGUAGGGACACCUGUAGACUGAUAUUCCUUCCUUUUGAUCAAUACAAUUAAAGCAGAUUUUUUUAAAAGGACAUACUGCAUGCCAUAGCUAAUAACACCUUGACAUGAUAUUCUUGGGAUUUAAUGUAACUUGCCAGUCCUUUGUAGCCUUCUGUGUCAUGCAGGAUAAAGUCUUAAUUGGGUGUAGAUUAUUCCAUAGGGUUUAUUUGGGGAUUUUCUAAAUUUUCUUAUUUCACAGGUUGUUGAAUAUGUGGGAUGAAAUACCAGGUAAAGUAUGAGGGGAAAAAAGUGAAGUCUAUUUUGUUGUCACCAGAAUCCAGUAUAUGCAUUUUUAUUGAGACAAAUCCCUGCCACUUUCAUUCUUUUCAUUCAGCACAACAAUCGGCUCCCUGGCUUAAAUUCUGAUCUCAGUUACACCAGUGUAUGUAAAUCCAGAAUAGCUCCAUUGAAGUCAAAGAAGUUACAGUACUCCUUGUUUACUUCAGUGUAACUGAGAUCAAAAUCUCUCCUACUGUCUCCAUAUCCCAUUUUCUGUGCAACCAUUCUUUGCCCAGAAAGCUCCCUGUGUUUGUCCUUCUUGGGUCUAGAUUUAUCUUUCCUCUUUCCUGUAGUUUCCUCUUUUUCCUUUUUAGCACUAUUACAACAUGCAGACGUCUGCCAGUUACUUUACCCUUGUCCACUUUCCAAACAAUGAAUGGGGAAAAAAUUAAUUUUCGUCUCAUUGUAGCUCCUAAUUGCAGAGUAGUUUGUCUUUCUUUUUUCCCUUUCCCCCCCUCCUCUGACGCACAUGCUCUAUAAUAAGCUUCUGUUCCUUGGAGCUUGUGAGCCUCUAUAGUAAGCUGAAACCGCUACUAUAUUUACACACUUUCCACAUUUAGACAAAGGCUAUUUUUAACUGGAGUUCUAUUUGCGGGGGCUGCCAACGUCACUUUAUGUUCACAUGCAUCUCGGGCAUCAUAUGCUUGUUAUUUUUAUUUACUGUGCCUGUGCCAGCUCUGCCUUUUUGAAGGGAAAAAAGAAUUGAGAGUGCUUUAGCAGGCCAGCCCUUGAAAGCUCUUUUGUAUAACAGCAGAUACACAGAUUAGGAAAGAAAGGACAACUCAGCGGUAUAUUUGGCAAACCUGUUUCUAAUAGCUGGCUUCUUUUUUCCAUGAGUCUAGUCACAAAGCUGUUUUCUUAUUACCACUGCGUUUGUUUAAGGGGAAGCUGUUUCUGAGGGCUAGCUACACCUCUGUCUGAGAGCACCUCUUCAGCUGUUAGGCCGCAUGCCUUUACCUAUCUGGAGAUGGGAUUUCACAGUUCUCUCACUUCUAGACCAGGACCUGGACUAUGGUAACCUAUGUGGCAACCAUGAUUAUCCUACAAGUCUGAAAUGAAUUGGUCAGGAGGUGUAUGAGCUGGAAGGGGAAAGGGCCAUUCUGAGAAGACAGGAUGAAAAGACAAUGAGAAUGAGAACAAGAAGAUGAACCUGAGGAAGAAGCUGAAUUCCAAAACAUAUUGCCCAGGCAGUAUUCCCUUGUGGAUUACCAUGUCCCAGUUGACAUAUGAAUGUAGAAGUGAUAUACUCUAUGGGUUGUCCAAAUUUUCAUUUGGCUCUGAUUGGAGUUCAUAAAAGAUAUGUGUGCCUUGUUUUCAGAAACAAAAGUUGCAUCCGUGCAUGGAAAUAGUUAUUUGUAUAUAUCAGAUACCACACAAACAGGUAUGACUGCAAAUUUGGAGUGCACACCAAAUGGAGGUCCACUGAAAAGCUGGACCUACAUGCCCGGUGAGUAUGGAAGUGUGUUGCAGAUGUGAAACAAAUAUAUGUUAAUAAACAGUACUUGUAGCCCAGGAUCUGAGCAUAGCUCAAAGAAUUUGAGUCAACUUCUGAGCUGAUCCAACUUAAUCUAUGUGGCUUGUGUUCAACAACCUAGUUCUUUCUAUUGUGGAGUGUGUCUGUCCUAUGAGAUAAUGAUAGUCUAUCUAAUCAUCUCACCUUGUCACCACCCCUAGAGAUUCGUAGACACUGCUGGGUUGAAACAUAGUGACUAUUAACACAUUCUUGGAGAGAUGCCUAGGCCACUUAAUGAGCUUGUGGAGGCUUUGGUGAAAAAAAAAAUCCUUCUGUUAACCUCUUCACUGCUGAAUAUAUGUACAGUCCUCUGUGUAAGGAAGUUUGUGAUUUUGUGCUGAGAUAUCCUAUAACUAUUUGCUCUUUAAGAGAUCAAAGGAAAGUUUAUAUUAUGGAGGUGAUAGUUCUGACUGCAUAGCUAAGGAUAUAUUGAAAAAUGAAGUCAAAGAAGAGAACUACCCAACUGGGUUUCUAUAAACAACAACAACAUAUAUCCUUCCCAAAUACACACCACUUAAUACAAGGGCUAGAUUUAUUUUUUUCUGAAAAUGACAAGUCAUUCCAUUGAAUAGGUUAACGGUGAGAUGCAUAUAAAAUGAUCCAUUCUUGAUUUUUUUCACUGGUUUUACAUUUCUUUGGGUCCUUCCAAUUUAAUACUAUUAAAAGUUGGAAACAUCAGACUUAACACACUUAUCAACAUUAAGUGUGCGCCAGAACCUGGCCAUUUUUCCUGCCCUUUUGCACCAUUCUGGCCCUCAGGAUUUGGCCUUAAUAAGUUAACCACUUCAAUCCCCAUAUAGAUAUAUAAGAGAUUAUAUAAGAAAGAGCAUGAACCUUAAGAAAAGAAGGGAAAAGGUAAAAAGAAUGAUCAUGUGUGUAAUUUGGAUAGAAUCCUUUAUUGCUUAAUUAAUUUUCAUUUAUCCCAAACUUCUAUAUAUUUGGGAAGAGUAUAAUUCUGGCCAUAAUUUCCUGAAAUGAUACCAGUUUUCUAAUUCAAGGAGAACAGUCCUAUAAGGUUUGAGGCAAAGGACUCCGUCAUCUUUGAAGUCAAAGUGCUACGUACACACUUCAUCAGCAGAAAUGCACUUCUAGUUAACCUUUUUCAUGUUUUGUAUUUCACUAAAAUCCUGUAAUAACAUAACAUAUAUAUUCAUGUAAUUAGUUAUCACAAUUGUUGACUUUGUGGGUGAAAUCCUUACCUCACUGAAAUCAAUGGCAAAACUGCCGUCGACUUGGGGCGGGGAGAGGGGCAGGAUUUCACUGUUUGUUUAUUGUGGACCCGACCUUACUCCCAGUGAAUUUUUGGUUUCAGAGUAACAGCCGUGUUAGUCUGUAUUCGCAAAAAGAAAAGGAGUACUUGUGGCACCUUAGAGACUAACCAAUUUAUUUGAGCAUAAGCUUUCGUGAGCUACAGCUCACUUUCACCAGAGUUUUGAUUACUUUUAACUUCUGCUUCCAAAACACACAGCAAUCUUAGAGUUGCUCAUGCCAAGCCACUGGCCAG